Myotis brandtii (Brandt's bat) is the source of this 1557-nucleotide long non-coding RNA. RefSeq lists it as uncharacterized. The transcript is spliced from 2 exons. The record is from RefSeq and is a predicted model, not a curated record. Lineage: Eukaryota; Metazoa; Chordata; Mammalia; Chiroptera; Vespertilionidae.
CACUCCUCACUGCCUUUAGAGAAGAUCUGGAGAAGAUCUGUGGAGAAACACAUUCCUUAGGCUUCUUCUGGAUUUCUACUUUGUGCUCCACUUACAUGAAUAGGGAGCCACAAGUGCCAAGUUAUUAGGGCUAACCAGAGACGUGAGACCACGAUGGAACACUAUCCAGACUGACAUGACGCUCUCAGUGGAUUUCAUGGCCCAGGAGGGUACUGACGUGUCUUGAAAAAUGGGAUAGGCACAUAUUCUAGAUUUGGAUUUGCAUUUUUGGUAAUGGAAACAAAUACUUCAAAUAUCAUCAGAGGAUUAGAACAAAAAUAUUUUAAUGGGCUCUCUGUUUAUGUAUCCUCAUAUCGAGGGAUGCCUUUUACUGCCUUACACCAUAAAUCCAAAAAAAAGAAAAGAUUAAUAUAUUACCUGGAGUGAUUAAUUCUAAUUACCAAAGAGCAAAUUAGAUUGCAUCUAUAGAAUGGAAGGUAGUAGACUGUGUUGGAAAUGCAGGGUAUUCUCUGAGGUACCUCUUAGUACUUUCCAUGCCCAACAGUAAAGGUUAAUAGAAAAGUAUACCAAUGAAAAAAGAUGCUAAAUCCACAGCAGGAUUCUAAAUCUUUAACAGGAUGAAUGAGAAUUCAGACCCUUUAGGAAUAAAGGUUUUGGUUACUCUACCAACUUUUGACAAAGUUGGAAGAUAUAUGGCACAUAUCAAUUAUGAACUAGUAAACAAUUAUAGGCAUUUAAACUAGUAGCUUUGAAUAUUUUCUAUUUGCUUUUUAUAUGCAAGAUUUUAUUUCUAUAUACUAUAAUUUUCUUUUCUCUCCUUUCAAUUUUUAUUUUAUAUAUACAUAAUUAGAAAUUAACUUCAUAAUUUAGUCUCUAGGUGACAGAAUUAUUCAAUGGGACUGUGACUGAAUUUGAGGAAUAGGUAAUAUAUCCAGCAAUGCAUAUAAUGACUGUUGGAACUGUGCAUCUUGUUACUGUUGGGAAAAAUUGAAAAUUUCUUCCUUUGUAUGAAGAAUAGUUUUAGCAUUUAAAAUUCGGUUGUUUCAUUGUUGUAAGAGAAUUCAAAAUGUAUAUAAAAGGGUCUAUAUGGAAGUUGAGUAGUCAAAGGUGUGAGUCUUGCUGGUAAUCAACUUAUUGUGACUCAGUUACCAACUCAUGCUUUUUGGCUUGCUCUGUGAAAGUGGAUCUGGCCCCUGUAAAUGCCUUUGUCAGCAGGAAUGAUGCUCAAUUUUGUUAGCAGGAAAAGAAUGAAGAAAAAUUGCAAGAAGUAAGUUGCAUGUUUUUUUUUUAAAUUGAGGUGAAAUUCACAUAACAUAACAUUAGCAUUGUAACCAUUUUAGAGUGGCUUCCAGUACUUUCACAAUGUUGUGCAGCUCUCACUUCUAAUUACAGAAAUUUUCAACACCUUCAAAAGAAACCCUGUACCUAUUGAACAGUUGUUCCCCACUUUUCCUUUCCCUUCACCCAUGGCAGCCACUUAUCUUCUUUCUGUCCUAUGGAUUUGCCUAUUUUGGACAUUUCAUAUAAAUGGAAUAAUAAAAUGUGUCUUUUGCUGUC